This 429-nucleotide ribosomal RNA is filed under the name Gemmatimonadota bacterium. RNAcentral's name for it is "Gemmatimonadetes bacterium partial 16S ribosomal RNA". It matches the Rfam family "Bacterial small subunit ribosomal RNA", at positions 355 to 776 of the family's 1533-position model. The record is from RNAcentral. Lineage: Bacteria; Pseudomonadati; Gemmatimonadota.
UAGGGAAUCUUCGGCAAUGGACGAAAGUCUGACCGAGCAACGCCGCGUGAGUGAAGAAGGUUUUCGGAUCGUAAAACUCUGUUGUUAGAGAAGAACAAGGACGUUAGUAACUGAACGUCCCCUGACGGUAUCUAACCAGAAAGCCACGGCUAACUACGUGCCAGCAGCCGCGGUAAUACGUAGGUGGCAAGCGUUGCCCGGAUUUAUUGGGCGUAAAGCGAGCGCAGGCGGUUUCUUAAGUCUGAUGUGAAAGCCCCCGGCUCAACCGGGGAGGGUCAUUGGAAACUGGGAGACUUGAGUGCAGAAGAGGAGAGUGGAAUUCCAUGUGUAGCGGUGAAAUGCGUAGAUAUAUGGAGGAACACCAGUGGCGAAGGCGGCUCUCUGGUCUGUAACUGACGCUGAGGCUCGAAAGCGUGGGGAGCAAACAGG